GACGAACGCUGGCGGCGUGCCUAACACAUGCAAGUCGAACGGGGCUCUUUGGAUCGAGACUUCGGUCAAGUGAAUCUGAGCUUAGUGGCGGACGGGUGAGUAACGCGUGAGCAACCUGCCUUUCAGAGGGGGACAACAGUUGGAAACGACUGCUAAUACCGCAUGAUGCAUUUGGGUCGCAUGGCCUGGAUGCCAAAGAUUUAUCGCUGAAAGAUGGCCUCGCGUCUGAUUAGCUAGUUGGUGAGGUAACGGCCCACCAAGGCGACGAUCAGUAGCCGGACUGAGAGGUUGACCGGCCACAUUGGGACUGAGAUACGGCCCAG
Molecule: ribosomal RNA, 323 nt
Filed under: uncultured bacterium
Lineage: Bacteria
Description: bacterial SSU rRNA
Rfam family: Bacterial small subunit ribosomal RNA
Source: RNAcentral